Oncorhynchus tshawytscha (Chinook salmon) is the source of this 762-nucleotide long non-coding RNA. Lineage: Eukaryota; Metazoa; Chordata; Actinopteri; Salmoniformes; Salmonidae. The record is from Ensembl.
GUGUAGUGUAGUGUGGUGUAAUGUAGUGUGGUGUAGUGUAGUGUGGUGUAGUGUGGUGUAGUGUAGGGUGGUGUAGUGUAGUGUAGGGUGGUGUAGUGUAGUGUAGUGUAGGGUGGUGUAGUGUGGUGUAGUAUGGUGUAGUGUAGUGUAGGGUGGUGUAGUGUGGUGUAGUGUAGUGUAGGGUGGUGUAGUGUAGUGUAGGGUGGUGUAGUGUAGUGUAGUGUAGAGUGGUGUGGUGUAGGGUGGUGUUGUGUGGUGUAGUGUAGGGUGGUGUAGUGUAGUGUAGGGUGGUGUAGUGUAGUGUAGAGUGGUGUAGUGUAGUGUAGUGUAGAGUGGUGUGGUGUAGUGUAGUGUAAUGUAGUGUAGUGUAACAGUGUUAUGUAGUGUAGUGUAGUGUAGUGUAGUGUUAUGUGGUGUAGUGUAGUGUAAUGUAGGGUGGUGUAGUGUAGUGUAGUGUGGUGUCGUAUAUUGUGGUGUCGUAUUGUGUGGUGUAGUGUGGUGUCGUAUAGUGUGGUGUCGUAUUGUGUGGUGUAGUGUGGUGUCGUAUAGUGUGGUGUCGUAUUGUGUGGUGUAGUGUGGUGUCGUAUAGUGUGGUGUCGUAUUGUGUGGUGUCGUAUUGUGUGGUGUAGUAUUGUGUGGUGUGUUGUGGUGUCGUAUAGUGUGGUGUCAUAUUGUGUGGUGUCGUAUUGUGUGGUGUAGUGUAGUGUAAUUUAGUGUUGUGUCGUAUAGUGUGGUGUCGUAUUGUGUGGUGUAGUGUGGUUU